AUCAAGUUGUUCGAGACUACUGGAGACUACAAAGCAGGUGCGAGUUGGAGGUGGUAGGAGCUAAACUAUGCUGCGGCCCUCCAGGAGUCCAGUUUUAGACUACUGAUGUGGAUGUUGGAUGCUUGAUUCUGACUGGUUGAUGAGUAUUCUAAGGUGUGCUGUUAUUCUCAGCUAACCGCACAGAUGAAGUAGAUCCGGCAGGUUUUGAGUGCUUUACAGUUUUAUAUCACUACGCUGAAUGAUUCGAGUCAUUUCACAGCUACAACAGGAAAAAAAUAUAUAAUAAAAAUCACAUCAGAAGUAAUAUAGACAUUUCAAUCAGAAACAGAAUAUUAAUGGAGAAAACGGUGGGCGUGGCUUGUUUUUUUUAACUGCGAGCUGAUUGGAUGUGAAAAAGUAGGCAUUUCAAUUAGAAACAGAAUAAAUGAGAAAACAGUGGGCAUGACUUGUUUUUUUCGACUGCGAGCUGAUUGGAUGUAGUAAAGUAGGCAUUUCAAUCAGAAACAGAUUAUUAAAUGAAAAAACAGUGGGUGUGGCUUGUUUUUUUUCGACUGCGAGCUGAUUGGAUGUAGUAAAGUAGGCAUUUCAUUCAGAAAGAGAAUAUUAAACAAGCUAACAGUGGGCGUGGCUUGUUUUUUUUCUACUGUGAGCUGAUUGGAUGUAGUAAAGUAGGCAUUUCAAUCAGAAAUAGAAUGUCAAAUGAGAAAAUAAUGGGUGUGGCUUGUUUUUUCGACUGCGAGCU
RNAcentral lists this long non-coding RNA (742 nucleotides) under Danio rerio (zebrafish). Its description in RNAcentral is "si:ch211-163f10.4 (ENSDARG00000095840.2)". The record is from RNAcentral. Lineage: Eukaryota; Metazoa; Chordata; Actinopteri; Cypriniformes; Danionidae.